Molecule: ribosomal RNA, 440 nt
Filed under: uncultured bacterium
Lineage: Bacteria
Description: partial 16S ribosomal RNA
Rfam family: Bacterial small subunit ribosomal RNA
Source: RNAcentral
CCUACGGGUGGCAGCAGUAGGGAAUAUUGCUCAAUGGGGGAAACCCUGAAGCAGCAACGCCGCGUGAAGGAUGAAGGUUUUAGGAUUGUAAACUCCUUUUGUGAGAGAAGAUAAUGACGGUAUCCCACGAAUAAGCACCGGCUAACUCCGUGCCAGCAGCCGCGGUAAUACGGGGGGUGCAAGCGUUGUUCCGAAUCACUGGGCGUAAAGAGUGCGGAGGCGGGCUUGUAAGUCAGAUGUGAAAACCUGUAGCUUAACCUCAGAAAUGCAAUUGAAACUAGAAGUCUAGAGUGUGGGAGAGGCAGGUGGAAUUCUUGGUGUAGGGGUGAAAUGCGUAGAUAUCAAGAGGAAUACUAGUGGCGAAGGCGACCUACUGGAACAUAACUGACGCUCAGGCACGAAAGCGUGGGGAGCAAACAGGAUUAGAUACCCUAGUAGUC